AGGGGUGAUGUGUGAUAAAAGAGUAUCAGCAAAAAUGAAGGAAAAGGUGGAAAGUGAAUAUAUUGGUAGAAGGAUGCUGAGGAUGGAACCACCAGGCAGGAGGUCAAGAGGAAGACCAAAGAGGAGAUUUAUGGAUGGAGUGAAAGAGGACAUGAAGUUAGUUGGGGUGAGA
Long non-coding RNA from Syngnathus acus (greater pipefish), 172 nucleotides. RefSeq lists it as uncharacterized. The transcript is spliced from 2 exons. Lineage: Eukaryota; Metazoa; Chordata; Actinopteri; Syngnathiformes; Syngnathidae. The record is from RefSeq and is a predicted model, not a curated record.